Molecule: ribosomal RNA, 497 nt
Filed under: uncultured bacterium
Lineage: Bacteria
Description: partial 16S ribosomal RNA
Rfam family: Bacterial small subunit ribosomal RNA
Source: RNAcentral
GAUGAACGCUGGCGGCGUGCCUAAUACAUGCAAGUCGAGCGAACGGACGAGAAGCUUGCUUCUCUGAUGUUAGCGGCGGACGGGUGAGUAACACGUGGAUAACCUAUCUAUAAGACUGGGCUAACUUCGGGAAACCGGAGCUAAUACCGGAUAAUCUUUUGAACCGCAUGGUUCAAAAGUUAAAGACGGUCUUGCUGUCACUUAUAGAUGGAUCCGCGCUGCAUUAGCUAGUUGGUAAGGUAACGGUUUACCAAGGCAACGAUGGAGAGCCGGCCUGAGAGGGUGAGCGGCCACACUGAAACUGAGACACGGUCCAGACUCCGACGGGAGGCAGCAGUAGGGAAUCUUCCGCAAUGAGCGAGAGCCGGACGGAGCAACGCCGCGUGAGUGAUGAAGGUCUUCGGAUCGUAAAACUCUGUUAUUAUGGAAGAACAUAUGUGUAAGUAACUGUGCACAUCUUGACGGUACCUAAACAGAAAGCCACGGCUAACUACGUG